UACGGAGGAUGCGAGCGUUAUCCGGAUUUCUUGGGUUUACAGGGUGCGCAGGCGGAGGUGCAAGUCAGCGGUCAAAGCCCGGGGCUCAACCCCGGCCCGCCGUUGAAACUGGCAGUCUCGAGUUGGAGAGAAGUAUGCGGAAUGCGCGGUGUAGCGGUGAAAUGCAUAGAUAUCGCGCAGAACUCCGAUUGCGAAGGCAGCAUGCCGGCUCCACACUGACGCUGAGGCACGACAGCGUGGGUAUCGAACAGG
This 252-nucleotide ribosomal RNA is filed under the name uncultured Bacteroidales bacterium. Its description in RNAcentral is "partial 16S ribosomal RNA". It matches the Rfam family "Bacterial small subunit ribosomal RNA", at positions 524 to 776 of the family's 1533-position model. The record is from RNAcentral. Lineage: Bacteria; Pseudomonadati; Bacteroidota; Bacteroidia; Bacteroidales.